CAAAGGUGGCAAGACCUGGGACAAAAUAAUCAGAAAUCAGAACUGGACUAGCAAGAUUCCUAUACAAGAGCUUCUAAAAAGCCAUGAGUUCCAUGAAGUUCAAUACUUUCAACAAUCAUCAGCCUUCUAAAAUGCCAAUUAAGUAAAUUGACAAUCAUGCGGAUUUCUCUAUUCUAAUAUAAUGUUGACAAGUGCAACUACAAUUAAAAAAACAAUGAAACCAGAAUUUCAAUUAUUAAUAGACUUUAAAUUUUAGCACUGAUAUACGAAAAUCCACCUUGACAUGUGCCUGGCAAAAUAAAAGUCCAAAGAUGGGACAUACCUCCUCUGCACGAAGUGUCCAGUAUUGAUCAUUGAUGCUCUCGAUUUUCUCAUUUAGUGGGAAAAUCUACAAAGGUAUAAUGAAUCAUAAGGCAACAAAAACGAACAAGAGACCUUAGAUAAAGAAUGAAAUCAACAAGCAAUACUGCAUAUAUUUGUUGCUUUAGGCUCCCAAAAAUAGCACAUUUAUUUGAAAAAUGUUAUGUACUUUCCAAAAAUCCAAGUUCAAAAUCUAUUUUUUCUUACCAGGUGAGGGUGGGAGAUAAUAUGUUGCGCAUGACUGGUCUAUGGAGAGGCACAUUAUGCCCAAUCCAAAUAAUUUGGGAGUGAAGAAGAUUACUUCACUUGAGGCCCCCCCUAACACCCUGUAGCUUGCAACAAGACAAACAAGCAGCCUAUGUGGAGGUUCCCUUGAGGAUGGUUGAUUCCCUAAAAAUUCAUUCUAGUCGGACUCCUUGGAUCAGGAUCAUUUNNN
RNAcentral lists this long non-coding RNA (796 nucleotides) under Carica papaya (papaya). RNAcentral's name for it is "long non-coding RNA (CPAP_LNC000517)". Lineage: Eukaryota; Viridiplantae; Streptophyta; Magnoliopsida; Brassicales; Caricaceae. The record is from RNAcentral.